Long non-coding RNA from Alligator sinensis (Chinese alligator), 2984 nucleotides. RefSeq lists it as uncharacterized. The transcript is spliced from 3 exons. Lineage: Eukaryota; Metazoa; Chordata; Crocodylia; Alligatoridae. The record is from RefSeq and is a predicted model, not a curated record.
AGCACUUCCCCAACCCCAUCCCUGCCGCAGGCUUGGCUUGCAGCCCCCCGAGUUCCUCUCCUCCCAGGCCUGGAGGACUCCCCACAUCUCCCCGCAGCCCCAGGCGAGAGAGGUAUUUCUACACAGCAACAGCGGCAGAUCCUGGCAGGGACAUCCCAGAGUGACCUCACCAGCGCGCUUCCAGUUCGGAGCAUCAAAGGGGAAAUGGCUAGGCGAAAGUUGGACCUGUCUCCUUUCUUGAAGAUUGUCACGAUGAUGGCAUCCCUAAGGUCAUCUGGGAUUUCUUCAUCAAGGCAAUGAUCAUCCAACAUCAACUUUACUGGGCCAGUCACGUCAUCCAGAUAUCUGACUCCAUAUUCCCGAAGCAAGCUUUAUUCUCCCAGCUCAGUCAAGGUAUAUGCUUAAAAGGAGGGAAGAUAAAGCACUUCAAAGAUGUCUUUAAGGCCAACUUGAAAAAAAUGCUGCAUUGACAUCAGCUAGUGGGAGACUAUUGCCCAGGACUGCCCCAAAUGGAGAAAGAGUCUGCUGCAGGGAUCUCAGUACUUUGAAACCUAUGACAACAACAGGAGAUGGAGAAGUGGGAGCAGCAGGAACAGCAUGGUGUGGACUGAAAUCAGGAAUCCACAGCCACCCAGCCUGCACAGAAACAUGUACCCAAGUUGCUGCAGCCUGUUGAUCCCAGAUAGGCCUCAUCAGCCAUCUUUGGGUCCUCAGAUAAGACAAUCAUCCUCAACUGUGAGGGAUUUCCAGUUAUGGUGGUAAAGCUGUUAAGGUGUGUCUUGAUAGUGUUCCAGAGGCAUGAGUUUAAGUUUUGCUCUAUAUUGCACCAAAGGAUAACUCCAGUCAACCUAGCUAGAAACCCAGUUUGGGGAGUCAAAGGGAGUCAAAGGUUGCCAGGUGUGAUGCUGGCCACUUCACUCCCCUGUGUGCUGUUGACUGUAGAAUAGUGGUUCUCAACACCCCUCGUCAGACUUGAGGAAUCCCUCAGAAAAUGGUGGAUCUUAGGGCAUUUUUACAUAUACUGUGGCAGGCGGCCCUGGGCACUCUAAUUAGGAAGCUGUACUAAUUAAAAGCGCCUGCGUGUCACAUGUAUCAGCAUCCCCACACAUCCCCGCACUGAAAAAAUGGUGGUGUGGCUCUUUGAACUAAAGCCCAACGUGUUUUAUUUCAAAGCACCCCACCACCAUUUUUUCAGUAUGGAGACAUGGGGACGCUGAUGCACAUGACGCAGAAGGCUCAAUUAAUCGAUUAAUCGAGUCUGCUCCAACACACUGAAUUUCCAGGGCGUCAGAGCAGACACCACACACCUCUAUAGGAGCCCUUAGUUUUCACUUGUUUUUUUUAAACUAUGGAAAAAAUAAUUGAACAGUUUUUCUGUUGCACAGAACUCAGAAAGACCACAAUGGGUCAGAAUGUUUUUACCACUAUGGAUUCUUAUUUCAAAUGUCUGGGUUUACGUUGUGAACUGUGUUUGCACGUGUAACAGUAUUAACAUUGUGUGGCAUUCACUGGCACUCUGGAAAGGAGGUAUAGAAUCACUGCUGAAGAAACCAACCUGUCUUACAUAUUUCAGCCCGGUGGGCCAAUUAGACUCAGAUGGACCUUUAACUCUUUUGACCCCACAUUUCUGGAUUGACAGGAGAACCAGUUUAAAGUAUUUUAAUUUAAAUAAAUGGGGAAAAUUACAGAAUAUAUUAGUAUGUUUAGAUUUUCAUACUUUUUCUUAUCAGGUUGGAACUGCCAGCUCAUAUAUGUAUAUCUGCCCAUUUUCCUAUUUAGCUUUAGUGAUUUUUAUGACCGCUCAGGUGCAGCUCAAUCCAAUUUCUCUUUAGUGAGACUUCAGUAGAAGUUAGAGCAACUGUGUACAGCUUCAUUAUGCAUAAUGAAAUUGCAUUGUAUACACUAAAGCCUAGUUCUGAUAGGCUUGAUUUUGUGGCUAUAGGUCUCAGUUUUUAGAAAUCAAAACCACUCAUUGAUUCAGUGUUUAGAAAGUCUGCUUUGGUUGUUAGAAACUGGCACCUUCUGAAACCACUGAACCUCAACAGGAACAGCACAGACAAAAUUCUUUGUGUGUGGCAAGGCCACUGUGAACAGUGAAAUAGCAGUUCAGUCUCAAUCAAUCCCCAUUAUUCCUUGGUGGCUCAGCAGUUACCACCAACAGGGAUGCCACUUGUAACACAAUGAUUGACAUACUUACAGAAUGGCUUAUAGUUUCAAAAAACUGCUGCAUAAAUAUUAGUUCAUCCUUUCUUGGCGGGAGAAGAAUAAGUAUCUUUUCCCCAUGUGUACAUUGUGAACGCUGGGGAGAGAGGUUAAGUGACUUGUCCAAAGCCACAGAGCAAGAAUCAGAUUGGAAAUUGUGACUUUGUCAAGAGGAACAAAUGGUUGCUUGUAAGUGACACUGCUGCUCUGAGCACUAUGAGCAACCACUUGGAUCCCAUAUUUUUCAACCAGAGACACGUAAUGCCAGAAGAUGCAAGGAUAAUGGGAAAAUCUUACAGAAGCAUCUAUGGUACAGUGAUGUUGUAGCCAUAGUGGUCCAGGAAUUAUGAGAGGCAAGGAUUUUUGGGGGGUGAUAUUUUUUAUUAGACCAACUGCACUGUUGGAAUUUAUCACGCUGUAACUUUUUGUGCAUUACAUAAAGCGCUUAAAGUUACUGCAUCAUCAAAGCUAACAGACAUUGGGCGUUUGAUGGUGGGAAUUGUGGGAACUGAGUGCCUCCAUGUACUGGCAGAGGCCAGGAGGCACGGGUUGCUGUAGCCUGUUGUGGAAGCCAACCAGCCUGAUCCCCACCUAACCCGCCCCCCUCCACUUGCCAGCUAGCUGCAAAAAGUCAGCCAGAAUUAAUUCCCGGGGGGGGAGGGGGCAGCCUAAGGGCAGCUUGGGCACUGUGCCCCCUCCUUGCUGGUGCUUUGGGGCACCAGGGACCCUCUCCUACAAAAGAGCACAGCAACCCCCUUGGCUCUCCAGGGAACUAGUGGACA